RNAcentral lists this ribosomal RNA (497 nucleotides) under uncultured bacterium. Its description in RNAcentral is "partial 16S ribosomal RNA". It matches the Rfam family "Bacterial small subunit ribosomal RNA", at positions 28 to 507 of the family's 1533-position model. The record is from RNAcentral.
GAUGAACGCUGGCGGCGUGCCUAAUACAUGCAAGUCGAGCGAACAGAUGAGGAGCUUGCUCCUCUGACGUUAGCGGCGGACGGGUGAGUAACACGUGGAUAACCUACCUAUAAGACUGGGAUAACUUCGGGAAACCGGAGCUAAUACCGGAUAAUAUAUUGAACCGCAUGGUUCAAUAGUGAAAGACGGUUUUGCUGUCACUUAUAGAUGGAUCCGCGCCGCAUUAGCUAGUUGGUAAAGUAACGGCUUACCAAGGCAACGAUGCGUAGCCGACCUGAGAGGGUGAUCGGCCACACUGGAACUGAGACACGGUCCAGACUCCUACGGGAGGCAGCAGUAGGGAAUCUUCCGCAAUGGGCGAAAGCCUGACGGAGCAACGCCGCGUGAGUGAUGAAGGUCUUCGGAUCGUAAAACUCUGUUAUUAGGGAAGAACAAAUGUGUAAGUAACUAUGCACGUCUUGACGGUACCUAAUCAGAAAGCCACGGCUAACUACGUG